RNAcentral lists this signal recognition particle RNA (259 nucleotides) under Lachnospiraceae bacterium C7. RNAcentral describes it as "Bacterial large signal recognition particle RNA". It matches the Rfam family "Bacterial large signal recognition particle RNA". From Rfam's summary of the family: The signal recognition particle (SRP) is a universally conserved ribonucleoprotein involved in the co-translational targeting of proteins to membranes. The record is from RNAcentral. Lineage: Bacteria; Bacillati; Bacillota; Clostridia; Lachnospirales; Lachnospiraceae.
GAGCAGCCGGGGUGUUAGCGGUACCUUGUACCAACAAUCCGCUAUAGUUGGGGUGAUGCUUCGCAGAGGGUUUUGGCCAUUUUAGCCGCCCUUCAUAAGUGAUGUUGACGUUUGGGUCUCACGCAAUAGAAAUCCAUGAACCGGGUCAGGGCAGGAAUGCAGCAGCCAUAAGUGGAACCUUUUAUGUGUCGUGAGGGUGCCUGGACCGAGUUAACUGUGAAGGUAACGGUAUUAUGACCGGAUUCGAAGCGAAGCGCUC